UGGCGACCGGCGCACGGGUGAGUAACGCGUAUGCAACUUACCUAUCAGGAGGGGAUAGCCCGGCGAAAGUCGGAUUAAUACCCCAUGAAACAGGGGUCCCGCAUGGGAAUAUUUGUUAAAGAUUCAUCGCUGAUAGAUAGGCAUGCGUUCCAUUAGGCAGUUGGCGGGUAACGGCCCACCAAACCGACGAUGGAUAGGGGUUCUGAGAGGAAGGUCCCCCACAUUGGUACUGAGACACGGACCAA
RNAcentral lists this ribosomal RNA (245 nucleotides) under uncultured bacterium. Its description in RNAcentral is "partial 16S ribosomal RNA". It matches the Rfam family "Bacterial small subunit ribosomal RNA", at positions 89 to 334 of the family's 1533-position model. The record is from RNAcentral.